AUGGCUGCCCUGCCGACCGCCGCCGCCGCCGGGCGCGUAGCGGCCAGCGCCUUCACUUUCCCCGCCAAGCCCUCCGCUUCCUCCUUAGCCGCGUUUCUCCCCCGUGCCGCAGCCGCCGCGGCGGCCUUUCCAGCGAUCGCCCUCGCACCGGCGGGGGCCCUCCAGCGUCGGCGGAGGCCGACGGCGGCCGGCGCAGCGCCCGGGAGCGAGCAGAGGGAGACGAUACUGCUCCCCGGGUGUGACUACAACCACUGGCUGAUCGUCAUGGAGUUCCCCAAGGACCCCGCGCCCACGCGCGAGCAGAUGAUCGACACCUACCUCAACACCCUCGCCACCGUCCUCGGCAGCAUGGAGGAAGCCAAGAAGAACAUGUAUGCCUUCAGCACAACCACUUACACUGGGUUCCAGUGCACUGUCGAUGAAGAAACAUCAGAGAAGUUCAAGGGUUUGCCUGGUGUCCUGUGGGUGCUCCCUGAUUCCUACAUUGACGUGAAAAACAAAGACUAUGGAGGUGAUAAAUACAUAAAUGGUGAGAUCAUUCCAUGCACAUACCCAACCUAUCAACCAAAGGAGCGGAGGACCUCAAAGUAUGAAAGCAGACGGUAUGAGAGGCGAAGAGAUGGCCCUCCUGCCAGCAGGAAACCGAAACAACAGGCCACUCAGCCUGAGUCAGCGUCUUCAUGA
This 684-nucleotide ribosomal RNA is filed under the name Triticum aestivum (bread wheat). Its description in RNAcentral is "partial small subunit ribosomal RNA". Lineage: Eukaryota; Viridiplantae; Streptophyta; Magnoliopsida; Poales; Poaceae. The record is from RNAcentral.